Molecule: transfer RNA, 76 nt
Filed under: Escherichia coli
Lineage: Bacteria; Pseudomonadati; Pseudomonadota; Gammaproteobacteria; Enterobacterales; Enterobacteriaceae
Also listed under: 2 other names
Description: tRNA-Val
Rfam family: tRNA
About the family: Transfer RNA (tRNA) molecules are approximately 80 nucleotides in length. Their secondary structure includes four short double-helical elements and three loops (D, anti-codon, and T loops). Further hydrogen bonds mediate the characteristic L-shaped molecular structure. tRNAs have two regions of fundamental functional importance: the anti-codon, which is responsible for specific mRNA codon recognition, and the 3' end, to which the tRNAs corresponding amino acid is attached (by aminoacyl-tRNA synthetases). tRNAs cope with the degeneracy of the genetic code in two manners: having more than one tRNA (with a specific anti-codon) for a particular amino acid; and 'wobble' base-pairing, i.e. permitting non-standard base-pairing at the 3rd anti-codon position.
Source: RNAcentral
GGUGAUUAGCUCAGCUGGGAGAGCACCUCCCUUACAAGGAGGGGGUCGGCGGUUCGAUCCCGUCAUCACCCACCAC